CGUACAUCAGGCGCUGGAACAGCUCUGUGUCUCAGUGCUGCCGCUCGGCAUUGUGGGAGCAGAAAGAAAGCACUCUGUGGCCAGAAAGCACAGCUCACCCUGUAAGAUGGGCUCGGGUGUUUUGUGUGAGUGAGUGUGUUGUGGAUGUGCAGCGAUGAUUUCUUAAAUCAUGCAUCAUCUUGCUCCUCCCAUUUCACACAAACCCACGCGUGGCGUGAAGUGAGCAGGGACACGGGAGUCCUGUAUCUAUGCUGCUAUUUGCCUCCUGCCAUAACAUCUCGUGCUUUAAGUCAAACUUUAUCAAAGAGUGGUCCGCGGACCACAGGUGAUACGGAAAAAUAUUGGUGAAAAUAUCACAUUUUAAAUGAAUAUAUUCUCACUGAAAAGUCAAAGGGAUUAAAAACAACUCUAACAUCUAAUAGACAGGUGCAUAUAUGUAUUAUUUUCAUAUGUAGAUGAUUAUUGUUUUUGGAUAUUUGUGGAAUUAGGUGGGCGGGGAGACUUUUUUAUUGGUUAAGUGAUCCUUUGAGUGAAAAACACAAUUUUAAGUGCAUACUUAGUGGGCCUAAUGGCCCAUUCACAUUCUGACGAUUAGCCCUGCGUUUGCUGAUGCUGAUGAAUGACGACCAGGGCUGAGGUCCACCAGAGUCCACACGAGCUAACGGCCCUAUUCCACAGAGCACCGUUCUGCUACGAUCGACUAUUUGCCAAAAAAAAAAUGCAGAGAUGGUUUGAACCCGGCUUGCCUCCUAACAGGCUCCCUUAUAAAGUGCAGACCUGGCAACCUGCCCUAAAACAAAAACUAAGGAGUUGUGCCUUCAGCCAGAGGUGAUCGAGCUGUUUAACUUUGAACAAAUCCGUAAUUAAACGCUGCUUCGGCUUCAAAUUUUUACCCCGAUAGAGCACAAUCAAAUAUAUUUCAAGCUGUAGUCAUGAAAAAUACCCCGUUUAAAGAAAUUCAAACAUGAAUAGAGCUGCUAAGACUAUGAACACACAGAAAUGACUGCAUAAUGACACAAAUUUUGCAAGUCGGGAUAAUAUUUUUGAACAGUUAGACAAUUUGACCCCGAUUUCAAAACUGGUACCGCUGAUGGCCGCAACUACUACGUAUACCAAGUCUGUUCAAGAUGGACAAAGAUGGAUCAAGAAGUUACUAUGAUGCUUCAAAACAUUUGCUAUUUGGGAUUAAACGGGAAGGACAUGUUCCAUGGAAUAGCCCUCAAGUCGACGUCGGUCGGGCAACGCUGAUGUUAGUUGUGGUCCUGGAAAAAUUUUUAAAAUGCUUAAAAAAGUCAAUGUUCACCUCAGAACGCUGGAAAAAGUUGAGCUCUGUUACCACUACAUCGUAGAGCUACAGCUUGACUGGUCACUCCACCAACUCUGGAUCCCUUGGGCAUGAAGAAAUAUGUAGAAAUAUGAGCAAGUUUGAAGGAAUAUGUAGAACCUGCCUCCACGAUAAACCAGUAACAAGUGACACAAUUGCAGAGUUGGAUUGAGUUUAUAUCGGCUAAUCCUCAGAAUGCGCUACCAAUUCGCCCGCUCUCCCACAGCGAAGGUUGAACUACAUCCUAUAGUGCGUCAUGGGUCUAUCGCCAAACAUAGACCUCCACCAGUACAACGUCACCCUCUGCUGAGCUGUGUCAGCCUGCAUUGAAGACAGGAAAUUUGGACCCUUGUAGCAAGAAGCCUUGUUCAGCGUUUCAUAGAGAUUUUUGAGAAUCUGUUACGUCAACCACUUCACGUCAUGGUAUGAAUGGGCCCAAAGAACUUAAUACCUCAAACUCUUUCAUGCCUCAUUGCUGGCAAACAUACCUACUACCAACCAGUAGGUACUCGUAGCCACAAUGUCUAAUUGUCUAAGCACUAGCCAUGAAUUUGAAUGCAUCAUUGUUGCCACACAAAUGGGCAGUUCAGCGCUGGAGUCAGUUUUGACUUGUGAACGUGAAGACAUCACUGCUACAUAAAGAAGCUAAAUUUAACGCUUAGCCUAACAUUAACUAGCACUUAACCCUAAUAAUCACCUUCAUCUUUACGUUGAACUCCUCCAAUCUCUAGUGAAGAAGGUCCUCUGUGCCGCUGUACUUGCUCUGCAGUUGCUGACGAGGCGUCGCUGUGUGAUACCUCCUAAUGAGGAUGAUUUGAGACUCCGUUUGCUUUCAGAUGUUUGUGCAGCCUGGAUGCUCUUUCAGUCUGUCUGGCAGUAAAAACAUGUGUCUGAUCUACACCAGACUGCCAUCUGUGCAUCUUCCUCCCACAUUAGUAACGGUAAACACCCAUCACAAAUGUCCUGUCAGUAUUCUGGAGGCUGGGACACUUUCUGAGCUGCCCAUGACCUGAUUUAUUUCUGCUGCACACAAAUAAUGAUUUCAUUUGCACAAAAGCAUCAGACUCCAUUCUCAGAUUGUCUCGGGUUGAAUAAUUUAUUUUGAUCUUGUUCAAAUGUAAAACAGCCCCCCCCACCACCACAAAUUGGAGUUUUAUGCCCCAUAGACUUUGAAAACUGGAUAAGUUAAUUUAACUCAAACAUUUGUUGAAACAAAAUAAGUAGAACCAACUUUUUUUUUUUUUUUUUUAAGUUUAAUCUUCCUUUAACUUUAAAUAAAAAGUUUUUAAUGGAUGUUAUCGAAGAAAAGUAAUUUUGGCAACUUCCACUUUGAGUGUCUCGCCGUCAAAACAAGAGUCAAAUUUAAUUUGUGUUCCACAUUGCUGUUGUAACUGAAAAAAAUGUUCAGGAAUUUAUUUUGAUCAUAAAGGCAGAAAUGUAUCCCCGAUUCCUGGUAUUUAAUGAUGUCACGGUGCCAUCAAUGCUUUCCAGAGUGUUCGUUUUUUUGAUUUGAAACGGUGAAAAUCCAUUUGACGGUAAAAAGAAAAAAGGCUUCUUAUAACUAUUUUACCUUCAUGUACUGUCAGCUUCUUUUUUUUUUUUAUGCGCUUGAAACAAUUGUGACAGUGUAACACGAAAUGCAUUAUUCUGGUUAUUUUCCCAUUCCUGAAAUUUGUAGGGAUGAGAGUCGUAUCACUCUUCUUAUCAAUGUUGGCAUGUUUUUCUUGACAGUUCUAUGUUGAAUCUGUCAGUGACAUCUAUUGAAUCCCGCCCUAAAAAUGUUUAAAGUUUAAAUGCAUUUGACAAACUCACGCAUGGUGGCCCGGGGCCUGACACGGCCGUCGCCCUGCUGUUGCGGCCGUGCGGUAAAUUUCUUUUUAAUAAUGGUUUAUAAAUUAUUUUCCUUCAUUGUGACGAAUGCCCUUCAAAGCCCUAAACCCAAAAUCAACUCUAAAACCUCACAUCCAGUAUCUGUUUUUGUAUGUUUCUGCACAUACGUGAUGGGAAAGCGUGUUUGCAAGUGCAUGUUGGUGAACGUGUGCGUUUAUAUGGAUGCGUCUGCGCCCACAGUAAAUCUGCUCCGAGGAGCCUCGGCUUACUGCAGGAUCACCCAGAUGUUGCUUUCUUGCCUCCUCACCGCCCCUCUGGGGCUGCCGUCACCGAGCAGACAAAAUCAGAACAGAACAAUUCCUGUGCCACAGGCUCCGUUCGCUGAGCUCGAGCCUUCCGGAAAAGCACAACCUUCAGCUGUGGAGCGUCUUGUGAAUCGUCACAGUACAAAGCCCUGCAUGUCUGUGGUCCAAAGCCCAAUGCCCUUGUCACGUGUCUGUUUCAAGCCCUCGCCGGAUUUGGAGUAAAUUAUAAGGGAGUUUAAUUUCUUCUGAGCCAUUCAACGCUUUGUUGAGCAGAUAAGCAGAACCCGUGGAGCGAGAGUCGCAGCUCCUGUGGG
Molecule: long non-coding RNA, 3773 nt
Organism: Thalassophryne amazonica
Lineage: Eukaryota; Metazoa; Chordata; Actinopteri; Batrachoidiformes; Batrachoididae
Exons: 2
Source: RefSeq, a predicted model, not a curated record